AUUCAAUUAGUUUAAGCAAAAACAUUAAAUUGUGGAUUUAAAAAUAUAAUUUGUAUUGGAUC
Molecule: transfer RNA, 62 nt
Filed under: Tryella crassa
Lineage: Eukaryota; Metazoa; Arthropoda; Insecta; Hemiptera; Cicadidae
Description: tRNA-His
Source: RNAcentral